NNNNNNNNNNNNNNNNNNNNNNNNNNNNNNNNNNNNNNNNNNNNNNNNNNNNNNNNNNNNNNNNNNNNACCCCUCCUCUCUCUCUCUCUCUGUCUCUCUCGCCGGCUCCCAGCCCCGGCCCCGCUCCCCCCGCGCUCGGCCCCGCUCCGCUCGCCGGUUCCUUCGCUGCCGCCCGACUGCUCCGCCGGGGACUCCGCGGGGCCUUUAUGCGGGAGCGCUCCGUGACGUAGCUGCCCAUAUAUGGACAGACAAAGCCGAGCCGAGGCCGAGACGUCACAAUGGAAGCUCCGCACAAUGGAACGUUGGAGAGAGCAGGAAGCGGGGCCGGCGCGCCCGGGGACGGGGGACAGGGGACCGGGAGAGGGGGACCGGAGACCCUGUACCAGCCCAGGGGGACCGGGCACCGGAUACCGGGCUAGGGGGACCGGGAACGGGGCAUCAUGCACCGGGCAAGGGGGACAGGGCGCCGGACGUCGGGCAAAGGGGACCGGUCACCAGGCAUACUACACCGGGAAAGGGGUACCCGGUACCCUGCAUCUUGCACCGGGGAAUGGGGACCGGAACCUGGACAUCCCGCACUGGAUAAGGGGUACCGGGCUUCCUGCACCAAGCACUGGGUAUCCUGCACCGGUACCAGGCACGCUGCGCCGGAAAAGGGGUACCGGGCAUCCUGUCCCGAGCACCGGGAGCUCCGCGCAGGGCGCCGGGCAUCCUGCACUUGUCACCGAGCUCAGGGGACCGGCCGUGCAUCAGCCAUCCUGCACCGGGCAUUGGACGCAGGGCACCCUGCACAGGGCACCUGGCACGGUGCACCGGACCGGGGGUCUUCCCCUCUGCGCUGCACUCCCCGAGCCGAGCGGUGCCGUCCCCGUGCGGAGGGCAGGCUCUAGCCUUUCCAGCCCGGAUCAUUUCUCCCGGGAAGCAGCGGGGGAGCGGGGACAGCCCGCCCCCGCCGUGCCUGACCCUGCGGCCGUCCCCGGGGCUGUUCAGAGCCAGGCUCAUACCGGGAGGUUUUUUCCUCCAGUGGAGACCGGGACCGGCCACAAACCCCAUCCCGCAGCCGGGGCUGGCGCAGGAACGGGAUGGGAGCUGUGCGGGGAAAGCCACAGUGCCAGGCAGUGGAGUUUGGUAGGAAGGAUAGGGUCAGGGUGGGGGGGCUUCAGAAGCCUCCAGCUCCUCGGUGUGGUGGCAACGGUGACAGAGGGAAUGGCACUGCCCCGAGCCACCCUCUUCCCAUGUCCUGACUGCCGUGGAGAACAGCGCUUGGAAUACUUUAAAAACAGGUAACACUUGUUGGUCGCCUGUGAUUUUAACCUCACCUCCCCCCUUUAAAAGUUUGGCACUUCCAAGGCGUCAGUAAUUAGGUGGUUUCGUGCUAAGUGUGCCAACUGAUGCUAUCUUUAAAACCCUCCGAGUUAUAUAGCAAAUGUAUGGAAAAAUGCUGUGUUGCAAUAGCUCCACUUACCCAAUUCCUGCAGGGCCGGCUUUGCCAUGGGAGCGAAAUCCGGGCUACGGGAGGGCUGCGGCGG
RNAcentral lists this long non-coding RNA (1529 nucleotides) under Parus major (Great Tit). Its description in RNAcentral is "lncRNA (ENSPMJG00000017750.1)". Lineage: Eukaryota; Metazoa; Chordata; Aves; Passeriformes; Paridae. The record is from RNAcentral.